GCUUAACACAUGCAAGUCGAGGGGCAGCAUGGUCUUAGCUUGCUAAGGCCGAUGGCGACCGGCGCACGGGUGAGUAACGCGUAUCCAACCUGCCUUACACUCUUGGACAGCCUUCUGAAAGGGAGAUUAAUACAAGAUGUUAUCAUGAGUAAGCAUUUUCGCAUGAUUAAAGGUUUACCGGUGUAAGAUGGGGAUGCGUUCCAUUAGAUAGUAGGCGGGGUAACGGCCCACCUAGUCUUCGAUGGAUAGGGGUUCUGAGAGGAAGGUCCCCCACAUUGGAACUGAGACACGGUCCAAACUCCUACGGGAGGCAGCAGUGAGGAAUAUUGGUCAAUGGACGAGAGUCUGAACCAGCCAAGUAGCGUGAAGGAUGAAGGUUCUAUGGAUUGUAAACUUCUUUUAUACGGGAAUAAACGGAUCCACGUGUGGAUUUUUGCAUGUACCGUAUGAAUAAGGAUCGGCUAACUCCGUGCCAGCAGCCGCGGUAAUACGGAGGAUCCGAGCGUUAUCCGGAUUUAUUGGGUUUAAAGGGAGCGUAGAUGGGUUGUUAAGUCAGUUGUGAAAGUUUGCGGCUCAACCGUAAAAUUGCAAUUGAUACUGGCAGUCUUGAGUACAGUUGAGGUAGGCGGAAUUCGUGGUGUAGCGGUGAAAUGCUUAGAUAUCACGAAGAACUCCGAUUGCGAAGGCAGCUUACUAACCUGUAACUGACAUUGAUGCUCGAAAGUGUGGGUAUCAAACAGGAUUAGAUACCCUGGUAGUCCACACGGUAAACGAUGAAUACUCGCUGUAAGGGGAUAUACAGUUUGCGGGCCAGGCGAAAGCAUUAAGUAUUCCACCUGGGGGAGUACGCCGGCAACGGUGAAACUCAAAGGGAAUUGACGGGGGCCCGCACAAGCGGAGGAACAUGUGGUUUAAUUCGAUGAUACGCGAGGAACCUUACCCGGGCUUAAAUUGCAACCGAAUAUGGCGGAAACGCUAUAGCUAGCAAUAGCGGUUGUGAAGGUGCUGCAUGGUUGUCGUCAGCUCGUGCCGUGAGGUGUCGGCUUAAGUGCCAUAACGAGCGCAACCCUUGCCGAUAGUUACUAACAGGUCAUGCUGAGGACUCUGUCGGGACUGCCAUCGUAAGAUGUGAGGAAGGUGGGGAUGACGUCAAAUCAGCACGGCCCUUACGUCCGGGGCUACACACGUGUUACAAUGGGGGGUACAGAGGGCUGCUACCACGCAAGUGGAUGCCAAUCCCAAAAACCUCUCUCAGUUCGGAUUGAAGUCUGCAACCCGACUUCAUGAAGCUGGAUUCGCUAGUAAUCGCGCAUCAGCCACGGCGCGGUGAAUACGUUCCCGGGCCUUGUACACACCGCCCGUCAAGCCAUGGGAGCCGGGGGUACCUGAAGUGCGUAACCGCAAGGAGCGCCCUAGGGUAAAACUGGUGACUGGGGCUAA
RNAcentral lists this ribosomal RNA (1440 nucleotides) under uncultured organism. RNAcentral's name for it is "16S ribosomal RNA". It matches the Rfam family "Bacterial small subunit ribosomal RNA". The record is from RNAcentral.